RNAcentral lists this ribosomal RNA (1222 nucleotides) under Anoplolejeunea conferta. RNAcentral's name for it is "eukaryotic LSU rRNA". The stretch from base 598 to 751 matches the Rfam family "5.8S ribosomal RNA". Lineage: Eukaryota; Viridiplantae; Streptophyta; Jungermanniopsida; Porellales; Lejeuneaceae. The record is from RNAcentral.
CCUCCGGUGUUGUUGUGAGAAGUUCAUUAAACCUUAUCAUUUAGAGGAAGGAGAAGUCGUAACAAGGUUUCCGUAGGUGAACCUGCGGAAGGAUCAUUGAACACACGAUCUCGGAAAACCCUUUGCGAACAAUCUCAUGUACCCCGAGGGAUCGUGCUCGGAGGCACGAUCGUCGGUGCCGGAGCCCUGAUUCAUGUGCGCUUGCCGUGAUUCUCCCGUUGGUGCGUGGCGGGAAUAUGUGGUUUUGGUUUACCGUCGGAGCGUCCCCGACACGCGUGGUUCCGUUUCUCUUGCGGCGUACUCGAACAGGCGGAGGAUCCGCACUCCUGGUUAGAGUCUCGAGCAGGCUCUGAGCAGUUGUUGAUGCGUCCUCCGAUGACGGUACAUGCAGGAUUCGGAGUCGGGAGCGUGUCCCCUCCUCCGAGGGUGAUCCCGAUGGACUCGUUCCACGGGACUCCACCCUCGGGGCCCUGUGUUUUUCCAACAAGGAACCUGACCGAACGAUGUUUUGAUGGACUGACUCCGCGUGCGAGGAAUCCGCACGGCAGUCUGCCGUGCGGAUUCCGAGUCCCGGGAAAAGCAAACAUAAUACAAAAUGACUCUCAGCAACGGAUAUCUUGGCUCUUGCAACGAUGAAGAACGCAGCGAAAUGCGAUACCUAGUGUGAAUUGCAGAAUUCCGCGAAUCAUCGAGUUUUUGAACGCAAGUUGCGCCCGAGGCUCGUUCCAAGGGCAUGCCUGCCUGAGCGUCCGCUCCGGCCCACCCACGAUCCUCUCCUCCUGCCUAUCCGGGCAGGAGGUCAAGGUGCAAGUGCGAGUGGAAUUGGUCGUCCGGGAACCCGGAUCUCACUCUGUGAAUACCCGAGGAUUCGCGGUUGGCUGAAAAAUGGGAGCCGUCCGUCGAUCGCGCGCAGGGGCAAGGGUGCGUCGCGAGAAGGUGCCGUCCUCUCCUUGGAGAUGGAUGUUAGUAACAAAAGCGUCGUCCCUCCUCUGCGGAGUCGAAUCCGGCGGUUCGGUGGAACAAGUACAUGGGAGCGCAGACGGGAUCUGGGUACCUGCUGUACCUGUGUUCUCCCUCCGCCUCGGCAGAGGCGGAGGGUUGGGUGCAGGUGUGCUGACUGGUGCUGGGUCCUCGAACGCGAUGUUGGUUGGACCUCAGAUCAGGCAAGACCACCCGCUGAAUUUAAGCAUAUCACUAAGCGGAGGAAAAGAAACUAACAAGG